Molecule: non-coding RNA, 384 nt
Organism: Sinocyclocheilus anshuiensis
Lineage: Eukaryota; Metazoa; Chordata; Actinopteri; Cypriniformes; Cyprinidae
Source: the annotation of a RefSeq genome assembly
AUGUUGUCCCUGGUCUUGAUCAUUAUCUCUCUGCUCAAAGAGAAUGCUGACGCAAAUACAAUAAAUCCACUGGUCCCAGAGAAGCACAUGACAGCAGGAGACAAUGUUACCCUCUCAUGUGAAUACAGUGGAGGUGUUAGCACACUGCAGUGGUAUCGACAAUAUCCAGGAUCUCGAAUAGGGUUUCUCAUUUUUGCCACUGAGCUCAGUGGCCGGUCAGAGCCUGCACUUCGACUUUCAUCUACAGCUGAUAAAGGAAACAAAUGGAUGCAUCUGAACAUCUUUUUAACAGAAAUGGACGAUUCUGCGCUGUACUACUGUGCCCUGGUGCCCACAGUGAUGGGAAACACUGCAACACUGUACAAAAACCAGAAACUAUACUAG